UGCCAGCCGUCGCGGUAAUACGAAGGGUGCUAGCGUUGUUCGGAAUUAUUGGGCGUAAAGCGCGUGUAGGCGGUUCGUUAAGUCUGAUGUGAAAGCCCGGAGCUUAACUCCGGAAUAGCAGUUGGAACUGUAAACCUUGAAUGUCUGAGAGGAUGGGGGAAUUCCUGGUGUAGAAGUGAAAUUCGUAGAUAUCAGGAGGAACACCUGAGGCGAAGGCGCCUGUCUGGCAGCACAUUGACGCUGAGGUGCGAAAGCGUGGGUAGCAAACAGGAUUAGAUA
This 279-nucleotide ribosomal RNA is filed under the name uncultured bacterium. Its description in RNAcentral is "partial 16S ribosomal RNA". It matches the Rfam family "Bacterial small subunit ribosomal RNA", at positions 506 to 784 of the family's 1533-position model. The record is from RNAcentral.